This is a non-coding RNA of Acanthosepion pharaonis, 109 nucleotides long. NCBI's taxonomy places the organism in Eukaryota, Metazoa, Mollusca, Cephalopoda, Sepiida, Sepiidae. The record is from the annotation of a GenBank genome assembly.
GACCAUAUCACGUUCAAACAUCGGUUCUCUUAAGAUCACCGAAGUCAAGCAACGUCGAGAUAGGUCAGUGACUAGAUGGGUGACCGCUUGAGAAUACCAGGCGCUGUAA